Molecule: ribosomal RNA, 510 nt
Filed under: uncultured bacterium
Lineage: Bacteria
Description: bacterial SSU rRNA
Rfam family: Bacterial small subunit ribosomal RNA
Source: RNAcentral
AACGAACGCUGGCGGCGUGCUUAACACAUGCAAGUCGAACGCGAAAGGGACUUCGGUCCUGAGUAAAGUGGCGCACGGGUGAGUAACGCGUAGAUAACCUGUCUUCAUGUCUGGAAUAAUACGCCGAAAGGGGUACUAAUACCGGAUAUCUUGCUUUUCAUAAGUUAUGCAAGCAAAGGUGGCCUCUGCAUAUGCUACUGCAUGAAGAGGGGUCUGCGUACCAUUAGCCAGUAGGUGGGGUAAUGGCCUACCUAGGCGACGAUGGUUAGCGGGUCUGAGAGGAUGAUCCGCCACACUGGCACUGGAACACGGGCCAGACUCCUACGGGAGGCAGCAGUGAGGAGUAUUGCGCAAUGGGGGAAACCCUGACGCAGCGACGCCGCGUGAGUGAGGAAAGGCCUUCGGGUCGUAAAGCUCUGUCAAGAGGAAAGAAGUGUACAAUGGCUAAUACCUGUUGUAUUUGACGGUACCUCUAAAGGAAGCACCGGCUAACUCCGUGCCAGCAGCAGC